UUCCUGUGUCACCUUAUGCCUGUACCUCUUUACCUGUCCUACAGGUUUCUCCAGUUAGCCACUGCUUUUCAAAGGCCUGCACAGUAUCCCUCUUGACUUCCUGCUCGAUGGAUUCUAACCAAUCUCAGCUACUUUGAGUCAUCAACCAUAUGGCAGAGUCUGCAGACUAUCCAUGUCCUACUUAACUGAAGAUGGAGCUUGAGAUAUGGCAAUGAAGCAGCCAGCCUUGACCUUGACUAAGUUGAGUUUUGGGCAGAAAUAAGAAUUGAGGUUCCAGCUGAGUCUGUGCUCAACUCUUCGGUGAUCGCUACCAAGCAACUGAGACCUCACUUGACCCUCACCAGGAUGAGGAAACCUUUGAGACACGGCCUGAAGAGCCUCGCUAUAAAUUAUCUUAAAAUAAAACCCUAUAAAUAAGCUUCUCCUUGAAGCCUCCACUCCCUACAAGUGACUUGGCUUGACCCUUCCACCUGAAGACUCGCCCUGCCGCGGGGCUGGCAUCAAUCCUGUCCUUGGUCAAACAGAACUAUUUGAGAAGCGUUAAUUCUCUA
This is a long non-coding RNA of Eptesicus fuscus (big brown bat), 551 nucleotides long. RefSeq lists it as uncharacterized. The record is from RefSeq and is a predicted model, not a curated record. Lineage: Eukaryota; Metazoa; Chordata; Mammalia; Chiroptera; Vespertilionidae. The transcript has 3 exons.